AAUAAAGAAACAUAACAAAAUGUAUGUGAGACUAAGAGCAUCCACUGUAACUCAACAUCAUCCAAACCUCUUGGACCAAAAAGUUCAACACCGCUUGAUGAACUCUCUUGAGAUGUUCUUAAAAAAAAAUUGGAAACGUAGACCAAAAACUCGUGCCGAUGUUAGAAAUUGCAAGGAACUCGUAACUCAACUGAUGAUGUCCAAGUUUUCAAAAAUUUGAAACUGCGUAUGCUUCAAAGGAACUCGUUGCUUGCUGUCGAGAACUACACUGAUCUAAUGGUGAAAUAUCGACUCCAUGCUAACCCCACCGCACAAUACGUUCAACAAGUUUUUGAUUAUUUUA
Molecule: small RNA, 343 nt
Filed under: Arabidopsis thaliana (thale cress)
Lineage: Eukaryota; Viridiplantae; Streptophyta; Magnoliopsida; Brassicales; Brassicaceae
Description: ATSL155780
Source: RNAcentral